This 389-nucleotide ribosomal RNA is filed under the name Bacillariophyta sp. RNAcentral describes it as "partial small subunit ribosomal RNA". It matches the Rfam family "Eukaryotic small subunit ribosomal RNA", at positions 582 to 975 of the family's 1831-position model. Lineage: Eukaryota; Bacillariophyta. The record is from RNAcentral.
AUUCCAGCUCCAAUAGCGUAUAUUAAAGUUGUUGCAGUUAAAAAGCUCGUAGUUGGAUUUGUGGUGUACUUCGGCGGCCCGUCACUAUGUGAUGGAGCUUGCUGAAGUCGCCAUCCUUGGGUGGAUCCUGUGUGGCAUUAAGUUGUCGUGCAGGGGAUGCCCAUCGUUUACUGUGAAAAAAUUAGAGUGUUCAAAGCAGGCUUAUGCCGUUGAAUAUAUUAGCAUGGAAUAAUAAGAUAGGACCUUGGUACUAUUUUGUUGGUUUGCGCACCUAGGUAAUGAUUAAUAGGGACAGUUGGGGGUAUUCAUAUUCCAUUGUCAGAGGUGAAAUUCUUGGAUUAACGGAAGAUGAACUUCUGCGAAAGCAUCUGCCAAGGAUGUUUUCAUCG